AGCUGCCCUCUUGCUUGGUUCAUGCUGUGGUAGAACAGCUUAAGGGCUUUGGCAAAUUCUCUGUCGGAGCUGGCUGGCCGAGUAUACAUUUGGUUCAUCUCUCUGGCUGCUGGAGGGUGUGCUGCCGUCCAAGUUAGCUUCAGGGUGUUGGAAGGCUUAUGUGCUGAGGUGGUGAGAGACAGAACAUUUAUUUCAACAUCUGCUCUCCCAAGUCCCUAUGUACAUAUUUAUUUUGGUGGCAAUCUACACCAGCAUUUAUCAAGCACAGGUUGAGACACAUCCAGGCAGAAGGGGAAACAAGAUAUAGAUCAACUUGUUUUAUGAAACAAGAUACAGAUCAACUCAUUAAAAAGUAAAUUUCUUUGAAAUACAGAUACACAUCUCAGAGCUCAGUUGGUUAAGCAUCCAACCUUAGCUCAGGUUACGAUCUCACAGUUCGUGAGUUCAAGCCCCGCUUUGGGCUCUGUGCUGACAGCUUGGAGCCUAGAGCCUGCUGAAGAUUCUGUGUCUCCCUCUCUCUCUGACCCUCCCCUGAUCUCUUUCUCUCUCUCUCAAAAAUAAACAUAAAAAAUUAAAAAAAUAUAUAUAUAUAUAAAUAUCCAUCUCAAACGUAGGAGUUUAGAGAGAAACUUAAGCAAGACUUACGUAGCCUCUCACCUUGUUGAGUAGAACCGACCUUCUCAAGUGAUUGUUUGAGAAACACGUUUUCUUCUCUCAGGGCUCUGUUGGUGUCUCUGAGCAGCUCUGUCUCCUGCUCUAACUUGAGCAGCUUCAUGUAGAGUUCCGAUAUCUGAUUUGAUGGCGUCUACAAAAAACAUGUCAGGUUAGCCUUUCGCGGGGUUAUCUGCAUACCCUUUGGGACUGGCAGUUUUACCCCCCUAGAUGGGGUGGGGGUGAGGGUGUGGUGAGCAGGGUUGAAGCCCCUGGGGGAACACAGCAGUAAAUAAGGAAAACAUUUGUUAAGUGGAAGGAACACCGAUGAUCCCUAAGCAGCUGUCACGUGCGAUGCCCGUUUGAAUGUCACAUAAAUGGGCACACCUGGCCUGGAUCCAUCAGAGUGGACAUUUUCUUGGUGUCCACCAUGACGUGGCCUUCACUUGUGACCAUGAGGUCCGACUGAGAGCAGUCCAGCUGGGCGCAGCCUUCUGUAAUGUGAGGGAGACACCAUCAAGGAAAGAAACACCUCCAGGCCCAGUGUUGUGUGAAGAGAAUUUUUUUUUUUAAAUGUAUGUUUCUUUGUUUAUUUAUUCAUUUAGAGACAGAAUACCAGCAAGGGAGGGGCAGAGAGAGAGAGAGAGAGGGAGAGAGAGAAUCCCCAGCAGGCUCCGCACUGUCAGCGCAGAUCCCCACGCAGGGCUCGAACUCACGAACCGUGAGAUCGUGACCUGAGCCGAAAUCAAGAGUCAGGCACUUACCAACUGAGCCACCCAGGCGCCCCUACGUGAAGAGGUUUAAGCCAUUUAAUCCCCUGUGGACUAGAGCCCAGGGACCCAGGAGAAGACCGCCCUGGGCUAUUAAGACCCUGACCCCCUCCCUCCUCCACAUCCUUGGCAACCCUAGAUAUAUUGACGUGAUAUCUGAUUGAAGAAUGCAUCGUGCAAAAGAGGAAGCAAACGUGGUACCUUGAAGACCCCAUAAAUCGACAAUGAGAGCGUUUGUUUGUAAAUAAUUCAGAAACUCCUGAGAUGCAUUUAAGGCUGUAAAUUGGACAGUUUCUUCUAUUUGGGGAUUCACCAUUUUCCAUACAGGCUUGGUAUAGAAAGUGCUUGAAAGGUCAUACAUUCUGUACCUGAGAAAAGAACAUAAAACAGAAUUCCAAGCCAGAAGGGACACAUUUACAAAGAAAUGGAUCAGAUGAGCCAAAGAAUGAUGGCUUGGCUUGGUUACUUGAUACGAGACGACCUGAAAUUGAUCCUCGUGCUUGCCACCCCCCAACAUUUCCGCUAUUUAACACGAGUAGCAUCACUACAUGGACAGUAUUAAAUGUCUAGCAAAAAGGAAAUGGAUUUUGAGAAAUAUGUUCUACUUUGAUCAUCUAAAUUUGUUAAUUUUAUUUAUUUAUUUUUUAAUGUUUAUUUUUGAGACAGAGAGAGACAGAGUGUGAGCAGAGGAGGGGCAGAGAAAGGGGGAGACCCAGAAUCCGAAGCAGGCUCCAGGCUCUGAGCUGUCAGCACAGAGCCCGAUGCGGGGCUCGAACCCACGAACUGUGAGAUCAUGACCUGAGCCCAAGUCGGACACUUAACCGACUGAGUCACCCAGGCGCCCCUAAAAUUGUUAAUAUUCCACGUGAGGUAGUGUUUUGGGUUUUGUCCUUCAAAGUUUCCCUUUCUUUAUUGCUUGAUCUCUUACCGUCUCUUAGCCUGACUAAGCCUAUCUGGUGUUUCUUCCAUAUUGUGAUAACAGUCCUUUCAUUUCCAACUCAAAAAGACAAAAAACAAAAAACACAACAAAAAACCCAUGAUUCUACGUAGAGAGUACAGCUUCCCUUGAUAUUCUAUCGGAUAAUUAGAAUCUCUGACCACUGCUUCAAUCACCAAGGAUCAAUAAACGUGGCUUUCAGUCCAGCAACCUAGAAGGAUGUGGGACUUCUAUUAACCGAUGGGGAAAUAGGCAUUUUGGGGUUGAACAAGCAGAGAAACGUAUGAAAAUUUCGUGAUGAACUCGUUUUUCAAGUGCCAAGAGAGACUCCCGCCCACCAAGGCCCACGAGGUGGGGGGUGUGUGCACAGCCGGUACCCCAUCUGAAUGCCUCGCUCUGCGUCCUCCUUCAGCCACUUGACCCCAAGGCACCGCACGAGGCCAACCUGGAAGUCCAUCCUCUUGCCCAGCAGCUCCGACGGGUCGAUAACCACGUCCUCCUCACCGCACGCUCUGCGAACAGAGGAGGACAGGGCAGAUCACAGAUCGGCCGGGGCCCGAGCAGGUGAGGGUCGUGUCGUCAAAGGGCACUCCUGAGACUCCUCGAGAUAUGGCCAGCUUCUCUGAAGAAAAGACGAGGAGCGUUGCCAGCCGCGGAGCGUGUUCACGCAACAGGCAUUCAAGGAGCUCCCAGCCUCCUGGAGGAAGAGACCGCAACGUAACCGCCUCGUGUAGGAUGCGACCCAGCCCCGGAGCCCCGGGCAGGUUCCCAGUGGGGUAGAGGCUGCGGCCUCUCAAGGCGACCCUUUCCUUGGUGAGCUCUGCACAGUCCAGAGUCAACUCCAGGCCUACAGGUUCGCGAACCAGUUUGGACAGCUUUCCAACAGGGGGCGUCUGUCACGUCAACCUCGCGUCGAGCCCAUAAGCUAGAAUGUGCCUUAGGAGUUUGCGACGAGAGAGAAACCGUCCGGCAGCCGAGAAGCCCGAGGUGGCCAAGUGACCAGAAAGUCGCUGAGACUCCCAGUAAAGACAGUGAGUCGAUGGUCAGCUUGGUCUCUGGGUGCCAGGACCCCGCGGCCCUGAGCUGGUUCCCUCUUCAGAAAGACAGGGAGGCCGUCCCGGGUGCCUGAGAGCGCCUCGCACCCAGACCAGACCGCCGCCUGCCCGCCUCUUUGCUUAGAAUUGCUGAGAGACCUGGGCUUUUGUGAAAACGCUGUGGACUGCCCAUGGCCUAGAGAGAGGGAAGAGAGGGGGUCCCUGAGAGGACGGUGAAGGGCAGUGCAGCAGAGUUAUAGCAACGCCCGUCCCCACAGAAGGUCGGCGAACAACUCAGAAGGAGGCCACGUCAGGGGACGAAGACACCUCAGUCCCUGCCUUGAGGGAAGGGACAGAAAUCCCAUGGGAGCCUAUACCACGGAUGGAGAAGGGACGAGCUGGAAACUCUGCUUUCUUCCAGCCCUCGGGCCGCAUCAGCGAGGACCUGAGACAUUCCCGGCCCGCCGAUUUGGCCGCCGUGGCAAAAAUCAGAUUUGCUGGGGCCAAAUCGUGACUGAAUGAGCUCUUCGGGGACACCGUGCUGACCAGCUCAUCCAGGAGAGCGCGGGCAUGCUGGGAGUUUUCUGCCAGGACCGGGCCGGGCUGGGGGGGCGGGUAGAGAGGGGACACCCACCGUCCCGCCGGGGAGCAGGGAGUCACGCAGACGUGCACCACGGCCUCUUCCUCCCCCUCGCAGUUCAUGAACUCCACCUGCUCCUCCAGCUUCAUGGAGUAGGCCAGCGACUGGAGCCAGAUGUGGGCUGAGCCCAAGUGGACAACCUCGACAGGGUCCCAGAAGGGGUCAUCUUCCUGAGCCACGUGGCUGUCUUCUCCAUCCAGAAAGCGCUGGUAAAGUUCCUCCAUGAGAAAUUUCCUGUUGAUAAACUUGGCUUUUGACCAGAUCCACACCUACGAACACAAAGAUAGGUCACCGGGAUUGGAUUUCACCUGCUCACAGUUC
This 4353-nucleotide long non-coding RNA is filed under the name Lynx pardinus (Iberian lynx). Lineage: Eukaryota; Metazoa; Chordata; Mammalia; Carnivora; Felidae. The record is from RNAcentral.